This 425-nucleotide ribosomal RNA is filed under the name uncultured bacterium. RNAcentral's name for it is "partial 16S ribosomal RNA". It matches the Rfam family "Bacterial small subunit ribosomal RNA", at positions 354 to 796 of the family's 1533-position model. The record is from RNAcentral.
GUAGGGAAUCUUGCGCAAUGGGCGAAAGCCUGACGCAGCCAUGCCGCGUGAAUGAUGAAGGUCUUAGGAUUGUAAAAUUCUUUCACCGGGGACGAUAAUGACGGUACCCGGAGAAGAAGCUCCGGCUAACUUCGUGCCAGCAGCCGCGGUAAUACGAAGGGGGCUAGCGUUGCUCGGAAUUACUGGGCGUAAAGGGCGCGUAGGCGGAUAUUUAAGUCGGGGGUGAAAGCCCGGGGCUCAACCUCGGAAUAGCCUUCGAUACUGGAUAUCUUUAGUACGGGAGAGGUGUGUGGAACUCCGAGUGUAGAGGUGAAAUUCGUAGAUAUUCGGAAGAACACCAGUGGCGAAGGCGACACACUGGCCCGUUACUGACGCUGAGGCGCGAAAGCGUGGGGAGCAAACAGGAUUAGAUACCCUUGUAGUCC